CAGUAGCCCCGCCCCUCGUUCGCUAUCCUCCAAUAACAUUGCAGCAGGAUCAGACAGAGGACGUAGCCCCGCCCACUGUCGGAUCAACGGACAAACAGUCUCUACGCUCACUCACGGACACUUGCCGCUCCUGCUGGAACAUCUGAGCCGCGCGACUGUUAUUUUAUGUUGUUUAUAUUAGUUUGCUGGAUGAUCGCGUGCUGCACGUAGUAACGGUCGCAGCAUCCCCGCCCGCCCUGGAGUUGAGCACGGAUCGUGAAGCGCAGGUUUUGUUCAGCAGAGGAUUUGGAGCGAGUGCAGCGGAGGACGCAGAAGAGCCGUCGCCAUGUGCAUUUGACAAAUACCCGGUAACUGUAUUCUGUGUGUGUGUGUUCAUUUAACACUAUAUAAAAGCAUUAGUGCUGCUGCUGUUUGCUGUGUAUGUGUGUGAAGCUGUGAUUAGGAUUAGUCUGCAGUUUGGCCAUGAAGUCAGUCGCAGUCUCCGCAACACCUGUUUCUACAAACCUUAAACCACACACACACACAGCAUAGCACCUGUUCACUCAUGCUGUCGUUGUCGGUCCCACUGCUGUCUGAACACCUGCUGUUGUUUCACGUGUGAGCAAAUGUUGACAGCGGUGUUUUGAUAGUGAGGCCAGCAGUCGACGUCGCUCAGC
Molecule: long non-coding RNA, 656 nt
Filed under: Carassius auratus (goldfish)
Lineage: Eukaryota; Metazoa; Chordata; Actinopteri; Cypriniformes; Cyprinidae
Description: lncRNA (ENSCARG00000064436.1)
Source: RNAcentral